Molecule: ribosomal RNA, 253 nt
Filed under: uncultured bacterium
Lineage: Bacteria
Description: partial 16S ribosomal RNA
Rfam family: Bacterial small subunit ribosomal RNA
Source: RNAcentral
UACGUAGGGAGCAAUCGUUGUCCGGAAUCAUUGGGCGUAAAGCGCGCGUAGGCGGCCCUGUAAGUCCGUUGUGAAAGUCAAAGGCUCAACCUUUGAAAGCCGAUGGAUACUGCAGGGCUAGAGUCCGGAAGAGGCGAGUGGAAUUCCUGGUGUAGCGGUGGAAUGCGCAGAUAUCAGGAGGAACACCAAUAGCGAAGGCAGCUCGCUGGGACGGUACUGACGCUAAGGCGCGAAAGCGUGGGGAGCGAACAGG